Molecule: ribosomal RNA, 248 nt
Filed under: uncultured bacterium
Lineage: Bacteria
Description: partial 16S ribosomal RNA
Rfam family: Bacterial small subunit ribosomal RNA
Source: RNAcentral
UGAGUAACGCGUGAGGAACCUGCCUUUCGGAGGGGGACAACAGUUGGAAACGACUGCUAAUACCGCAUGACGUAUCGGGAUCGCAUGGUCUUGAUACCAAAGAUUUUAUCGCCGAAAGAUGGCCUCGCGUCUGAUUAGCUAGUUGGUGGGGCAACGGCCUACCAAGGCGACGAUCAGUAGCCGGACUGAGAGGUUGGCCGGCCACAUUGGGACUGAGAUACGGCCCAGACUCCUACGGAAGGCAGCAG